UUCGCCCUUAGAGUUUGAUCCUGGCUCAGGACGAUUGCUGGCGGCGCGCCUAACACAUGCAAGUCGAACGAGCGAGAGAGAGCUUGCUUUCUCGAGCGAGUGGCGAACGGGUGAGUAACGCGUGAGGAACCUGCCUCAAAGAGGGGGACAACAGUUGGAAACGACUGCUAAUACCGCAUAAGCCCACGGCUCGGCAUCGAGCAGAGGGAAAAGGAGCAAUCCGCUUUGAGAUGGCCUCGCGUCCGAUUAGCUAGUUGGUGAGGUAACGGCCCACCAAGGCAACGAUCGGUAGCCGGACUGAGAGGUUGAACGGCCACAUUGGGACUGAGACACGGCCCAGACUCCUACGGGAGGCAGCAGUGGGGAAUAUUGCACAAUGGGGGAAACCCUGAUGCAGCGACGCCGCGUGGAGGAAGAAGGUCUUCGGAUUGUAAACUCCUGUUGUUGGGGAAGAUAAUGACGGUACCCAACAAGGAAGUGACGGCUAACUACGUGCCAGCAGCCGCGGUAAAACGUAGGUCACAAGCGUUGUCCGGAAUUACUGGGUGUAAAGGGAGCGCAGGCGGGAAGACAAGUUGGAAGUGAAAUCUAUGGGCUCAACCCAUAAACUGCUUUCAAAACUGUUUUUCUUGAGUAGUGCAGAGGUAGGCGGAAUUCCCCGGUGUAGCGGUGGAAUGCGUAGAUAUCGGGAGGAACACCAGUGGCGAAGGCGGCCUACUGGGCACCAACUGACGCUGAGGCUCGAAAGUGUGGGUAGCAAACAGGAUUAGAUACCCUGGUAGUCCACACCGUAAACGAUGAUUACUAGGUGUUGGAGGAUUGACCCCUUCAGUGCCGCAGUUAACACAAUAAGUAAUCCACCUGGGGAGUACGACCGCAAGGUUGAAACUCAAAGGAAUUGACGGGGGCCCGCACAAGCAGUGGAGUAUGUGGUUUAAUUCGACGCAACGCGAAGAACCUUACCAAGUCUUGACAUCCCUUGACAGGCAUAGAAAUAUGUUUUCUCUUCGGAGCAAGGAGACAGGUGGUGCAUGGUUGUCGUCAGCUCGUGUCGUGAGAUGUUGGGUUAAGUCCCGCAACGAGCGCAACCCUUAUGGUCAGUUACUACGCAAGAGGACUCUGGCCAGACUGCCGUUGACAAAACGGAGGAAGGUGGGGAUGACGUCAAAUCAUCAUGCCCUUUAUGACUUGGGCUACACACGUACUACAAUGGCGUUAAACAAAGAGAAGCAAGACCGCGAGGUGGAGCAAAACUCAGAAACAACGUCCCAGUUCGGACUGCAGGCUGCAACUCGCCUGCACGAAGUCGGAAUUGCUAGUAAUCGUGGAUCAGCAUGCCACGGUGAAUACGUUCCCGGGCCUUGCACACACCGCCCGUCA
Molecule: ribosomal RNA, 1380 nt
Filed under: uncultured bacterium
Lineage: Bacteria
Description: 16S ribosomal RNA
Rfam family: Bacterial small subunit ribosomal RNA
Source: RNAcentral